This 496-nucleotide ribosomal RNA is filed under the name uncultured bacterium. RNAcentral describes it as "bacterial SSU rRNA". It matches the Rfam family "Bacterial small subunit ribosomal RNA", at positions 29 to 505 of the family's 1533-position model. The record is from RNAcentral.
AGUGAACGCUGGCGGCAGGCCUAACACAUGCAAGUCGAGCGGCAGCGCGUCCGACCACCCUCGGGUGGUCGGAUGGCGGCGAGCGGCGGACGGGUGAGGAAUGCAUCGGAAUCUGCCUCGUUGUGGGGGAUAACGUAGGGAAACUUACGCUAAUACCGCAUACGACCUACGGGUGAAAGUGGGGGACCUUCGGGCCUCACGCGAUGAGAUGAGCCGAUGCCGGAUUAGCUAGUUGGCGGGGUAAAGGCCCACCAAGGCGACGAUCCGUAGCUGGUCUGAGAGGAUGAUCAGCCACACUGGAACUGAGACACGGUCCAGACUCCUACGGGAGGCAGCAGUGGGGAAUAUUGCACAAUGGGCGAAAGCCUGAUGCAGCCAUGCCGCGUGUGUGAAGAAGGCCCUAGGGUUGUAAAGCACUUUCAAUAGGGAGGAAAAGCUAGUAGUUAAUACCUGCUAGCCCUGACGUUACCUAUAGAAGAAGCACCGGCUAACUCCG